CAAUAGCGUAUACUCAUGUUGUUGCAGUUAAAAAGCUCGUAGUUGAACUUCUGGUAGGAGUGUCCCGGCCUUUUUGUUUUUACAAAUUGUAUGCUGUGUGACAUCUCUGGCCAUCCUUCUUCUUUGUUUAAAGAAGAUCUUUCACUGUAAAAAAAUUAGGGUGUUCAAAGCAAAAGUUUCUUUGGAAUAUAUUAGUAUGGGAUGAUAAGAUAGGCUCUAGAUGCUAUUUUGUUGGUUUGCACAUUUAGAGAAUGAUUAACAGGGACAGUUGGGGGUAUUCGUAUUUACAUGUCAGAGGUGAAAUUCUUGGAUUUUGGAAAGACGAACUACUGCGAAAGCAUUUACCAAGGAUGUUUUCAUUAA
Molecule: ribosomal RNA, 363 nt
Filed under: uncultured eukaryote
Lineage: Eukaryota
Description: partial 18S ribosomal RNA
Rfam family: Eukaryotic small subunit ribosomal RNA
Source: RNAcentral